GCUCAGUUGGUAAAGCACAAGGCUCUUAACCUUGUGGUCGUGGAUUCAAACCCUAC
RNAcentral lists this transfer RNA (56 nucleotides) under Triticum aestivum (bread wheat). It matches the Rfam family "tRNA", at positions 10 to 63 of the family's 71-position model. Rfam says of the family: Transfer RNA (tRNA) molecules are approximately 80 nucleotides in length. Their secondary structure includes four short double-helical elements and three loops (D, anti-codon, and T loops). Further hydrogen bonds mediate the characteristic L-shaped molecular structure. tRNAs have two regions of fundamental functional importance: the anti-codon, which is responsible for specific mRNA codon recognition, and the 3' end, to which the tRNAs corresponding amino acid is attached (by aminoacyl-tRNA synthetases). tRNAs cope with the degeneracy of the genetic code in two manners: having more than one tRNA (with a specific anti-codon) for a particular amino acid; and 'wobble' base-pairing, i.e. permitting non-standard base-pairing at the 3rd anti-codon position. Lineage: Eukaryota; Viridiplantae; Streptophyta; Magnoliopsida; Poales; Poaceae. RNAcentral also lists the same sequence under 1 other name. The record is from Rfam by way of RNAcentral.